ACACUGUGGUGUCCAUGUGUGCGCUGCCCUGGAAGCAGAAAUCAAUUACUCCCACUGCUAUUAGAGAGAUGAUUUGGUUGGGGAGGCUCGCUGUGAAUGCAGCCACUGUUCAUUACUGAGCUCUUUGUAUAUAUUAUAUCUCUUUUACUACAGGAAGACUGAGGCUUGGAAAGAGAGAGAAACUGUGUAACAGAACCAGAGCCUGGGACAUGCUGGGGGUUUGAACCAUCAUCCCCUUGGCUCCAGACCCUGGGCAUUUCAUCACUAGGUGAUCCUGUUUCUCCUGCAGGUGUUAGAUGUUGAUUCUGCCCAGGGUGCCUGUGUCAUAGAAGCUCCCAGAUUUUGAGCGACUGCAUCCUGAAUGGUAGUCCCCGCAGUCUCCUGCUCAGAGCCUUUGAACUGGUCGCUCAUUCCAGGGGAGAUCUUGAUAACAACUAUUCCUUGGAGAAGGUUCAUAGGAAACAAGGUGAAUAAACACCGCAGAAGCCCUCCCUGUCUAGCAGAGCUUUGGUCCUGAGGAUGUUUAUAAGUCAGUGUUGGUGUCUGGAUGGAAAAGACUUUGAAUUCAAAAGGGCAGUUGGGACAUUUUCAAUUUUUGUGUUAAUUCAAAAAAGUUCAUCCUAUGCCUUCCCUCAACCUUAGGGCACAGGCAAAAGAGAGAGAUUAUCUUUAUCCAGAAUGUAACUCCAAAUGGAGCUCUUUUUGUUUUCUUUCCUCCCUGCCUGGCUGGGGCUAGUUAUUGUAAU
This 746-nucleotide long non-coding RNA is filed under the name Capra hircus (goat). RNAcentral describes it as "lncRNA (ENSCHIG00010016468.1)". Lineage: Eukaryota; Metazoa; Chordata; Mammalia; Artiodactyla; Bovidae. The record is from RNAcentral.